This 253-nucleotide ribosomal RNA is filed under the name uncultured bacterium. RNAcentral's name for it is "partial 16S ribosomal RNA". It matches the Rfam family "Bacterial small subunit ribosomal RNA", at positions 524 to 776 of the family's 1533-position model. The record is from RNAcentral.
UACGUAGGGUGCGAGCGUUGUCCGGAUUUAUUGGGCGUAAAGAGCUCGUAGGCGGUUUGUCGCGUCGGCCGUGAAAUCUCCACGCUUAACGUGGAGCGUGCGGUCGAUACGGGCAGACUUGAGUUCGGUAGGGGAGACUGGAAUUCCUGGUGUAGCGGUGAAAUGCGCAGAUAUCAGGAGGAACACCGAUGGCGAAGGCAGGUCUCUGGGCCGAUACUGACGCUGAGGAGCGAAAGCGUGGGGAGCGAACAGG